UAUCUUUAUAGUAGAAAUAAACGCACUGC
RNAcentral lists this non-coding RNA (29 nucleotides) under Mus musculus (house mouse). Lineage: Eukaryota; Metazoa; Chordata; Mammalia; Rodentia; Muridae. The record is from RNAcentral.